This 217-nucleotide ribosomal RNA is filed under the name Calcidiscus leptoporus. RNAcentral describes it as "partial Bacterial large subunit ribosomal RNA". It matches the Rfam family "Bacterial large subunit ribosomal RNA", at positions 2680 to 2906 of the family's 2925-position model. Lineage: Eukaryota; Haptophyta; Coccolithales; Calcidiscaceae. The record is from RNAcentral.
AGUACGAGAGGACCGGAGUGGACGCACCGCUAGUGUACCUGUUGUGUGGUCGCAUGCAUCGCAGGGUAGCUAUGUGCGGAAGUGAUAAGCCGCUGAACGCAUCUAAGCGCGAAGCACGCUCCAAGAUAAGUAUUCCCUAUGAGCCUCCCGGAAGACGACCGGGUAGAUAGGCGGCAGGUGUACGCAUGGUAACAUGUUUAGCCGAGCCGUACUAAUC